Molecule: ribosomal RNA, 829 nt
Filed under: uncultured organism
Description: bacterial SSU rRNA
Rfam family: Bacterial small subunit ribosomal RNA
Source: RNAcentral
UUGAUCCUGGCUCAGAACGAACGCUGGCGGCGCGUUUAAGCAUGCAAGUCGAGCGGUAAGCAUCCUUCGGGAUGCCUAGAGCGGCGAACGGGUGAGUAACACGUAGGUAACCUGCCGUGCGAUUGGGGAUAGCCUGUGGAAACACAGGGUAAUACCGAAUACGACCUUCGGGGGAAAGGUGCUUCGGCACCGUCGUACGAUGAGCCUGCGGCGCAUUAGUUAGUUGGCGGGGUAAUGGCCCACCAAGGCGACGAUGCGUAGCCGACCUGAGAGGGUGAUCGGCCACACUGGGACUGAGAUACGGCCCAGACUCCUACGGGAGGCAGCAGCUAAGAAUCUUCCGCAAUGGACGAAAGUCUGACGGAGCGACGCCGCGUGGGCGAGGAAGGCCGAAAGGUUGUAAAGCCCUUUUCUGCGUGAGGAAUAAGAAUCGGAGGCAAUGCCGGUUUGAUGACGGUAGCGCAGGAAUAAGCCCCGGCCAAUUACGUGCCAGCAGCCGCGGUAACACGUAUGGGGCGAGCGUUGUUCGGAAUUAUUGGGCGUAAAGGGCGCGCAGGCGGUCAUGCAAGCUUGGUGUGAAAGACCACGGCUUAACGGUGGAAACGCGCUGAGAACUGCAUGACUUGAGUUUCGGAGGGGGAACUGGAAUUCCAGGUGUAGGGGUGAAAUCUGUAGAUAUCUGGAAGAACAUCAGUGGCGAAGGCGAGUUCCUGGCCGACAACUGACGCUGAGGCGCGAAAGCGUGGGGAGCGAACAGGAUUAGAUACCCUGGUAGUCCACGCCGUAAACGAUGUGCACUAGGUGUUGGGCUUUCGAAGGCUCAGUGCCG